AUUGAACGCUGGCGGCAUGCCUUACACAUGCAAGUCGAACGGCAGCACGGGGCAACCUGGUGGCGAGUGGCGAACGGGUGAGUAAAGCAUCGGAACGUGCCCUGGAGUGGGGGAUAACGUAGCGAAAGUUACGCUAAUACCGCAUAUUCUGUGAGCAGGAAAGCAGGGGAUCGCAAGACCUUGCGCUCUGGGAGCGGCCGAUGUCGGAUUAGCUAGUUGGUGGGUAAAGGCCUACCAAGGCGACGAUCCGUAGCGGGUCUGAGAGGAUGAUCCGCCACACUGGGACUGAGACACGGCCCAGACUCCUACGGGAGGCAGCAGUGGGGAAUAUUGGACAAUGGGCGCAAGCCUGAUCCAGCCAUGCCGCGUGAGUGAAGAAGGCCCUCGGGUUGUAAAGCUCUUUUGUCCGGAAAGAAAGCGCCGGGUUAAUACCCUGGUGUCCUGACGGUACCGGAAGAAUAAGCACCGGCUAACUACGUGCCAGCAGCCGCGGUAAAG
Molecule: ribosomal RNA, 498 nt
Filed under: uncultured bacterium
Lineage: Bacteria
Description: bacterial SSU rRNA
Rfam family: Bacterial small subunit ribosomal RNA
Source: RNAcentral